RNAcentral lists this ribosomal RNA (440 nucleotides) under uncultured bacterium. RNAcentral describes it as "partial 16S ribosomal RNA". It matches the Rfam family "Bacterial small subunit ribosomal RNA", at positions 338 to 795 of the family's 1533-position model. The record is from RNAcentral.
CCUACGGGAGGCAGCAGUGGGGAAUAUUGCACAAUGGGGGAAACCCUGAUGCAGCGACGCCGCGUGAGUGAAGAAGUAUUUCGGUACGUAAAGCUCUAUCAGCAGGGAAGAAAAUGACGGUACCUGACUAAGAAGCCCCGGCUAACUACGUGCCAACAGCCGCGGUAAUACGUAGGGGGCAAGCGUUAUCCGGAUUUACUGGGUGUAAAGGGAGCGUAGACGGCAGCGCAAGUCUGGAGUGAAAUCCCAUGGCUUAACCAUGGAACUGCUUUGGAAACUGUGCGGCUAGAGUGCAGGAGAGGUAAGCGGAAUGCGUAGUGUAGCGGUGAAAUGCGUAGAUAUUAGGAGGAACACCAGUGGCGAAGGCGGCUUACUGGACUGUAACUGACGUUGAGGCUCGAAAGCGUGGGGAGCAAACAGGAUUAGAUACCCCAGUAGUC